UACAGGGGGGUGCAAACGUUGCUCGGAAUCAUUGGGCGUAAAGCGCACGUAGGCGGUUCGUUAUGUCGGAUGUGAAAGCCCUUGGCUUAACCGAGGAAGUGCAUCCGAAACUGGCGAGCUAGAGUACGAAAGAGGAUCGCGGAAUUCCCGGUGUAGAGGUGAAAUUCGUAGAUAUCGGGAGGAACACCAGAGGCGAAGGCGGCCACCUGGACGGACACUGACGCUGAGACGCGAAAGCGUGGGGAGCAAACAGG
This 254-nucleotide ribosomal RNA is filed under the name uncultured bacterium. RNAcentral's name for it is "partial 16S ribosomal RNA". It matches the Rfam family "Bacterial small subunit ribosomal RNA", at positions 524 to 776 of the family's 1533-position model. The record is from RNAcentral.